Molecule: ribosomal RNA, 816 nt
Filed under: uncultured bacterium
Lineage: Bacteria
Description: bacterial SSU rRNA
Rfam family: Bacterial small subunit ribosomal RNA
Source: RNAcentral
UGCAAGUCGAGCGCAACUUCGGUUGAGCGGCGGACGAGCGAGUAACACGUUGGAACCUGCCCCAAACUCAGGGAUAACAUCUAGAAAUAGGUGCUAAUACCGGAUAGUCCCGCAAGGGUAAAGAUUUUUCGGUUUGGGAGGGGCCUGCGGCCUAUCAGCUUGUUGGUAAGGUAAUGGCUUACCAAGGCUAUGACGGGUAACUGGUCUGAGAGGAUGAUCAGUCGCGAUGGGACUGAGACACGGCCCAUACUCCUACGGGAGGCAGCAGUAAGGAAUCUUCCACAAUGGACGAAAGUCUGAUGGAGCAACACCGCGUGAUCGAUGAAGCCCUUCGGGGUGUAAAGGUCUUUUCUGAGGGAAGAAUUUUGACGGUACCUUAGGAAUAAGCACCGGCUAACUCCGUGCCAGCAGCCGCGGUAAUACGGAGGGUGCAAGCGUUAUCCGGAAUCAUUGGGCGUAAAGCGUCCGCAGGCGGUCUGUUAAGUUGGGUGUUAAAUUUUUCAGCUCAACUGAAAAACUAUACCCAAAACUAGCAAACUAGAGUACUUCAGAGGUACGUGGAAUUCUGUGUGUAGGGGUAAAAUCCGUAGAUACACAGAGGAACACCAAAAGCGAAGGCAGCGUACUGGGGAGUUACUGACGCUCAGGGACGAAAGCGUGGGGAGCGAACGGGAUUAGAUACCCCGGUAGUCCACGCCGUAAACGAUGGAUACUAAGUGUUGAGGGACUCGACCCCCUCAGUGCUGACGCUAACGCAUUAAGUAUCCCGCCUGGGGAGUACGGUCGCAAGAUUAAAACUCAAAGGAAUAGACGGGG